CCUACGGGAGGCAGCAGUGAGGAAUAUUGGUCAAUGGACGAGCGUCUGAACCAGCCAAGUAGCGUGAAGGAUGACUGCCCUAUGGGUUGUAAACUUCUUUUAUAAAGGAAUAAAACGAGGCACGUGUGCCUUUUUGCAUGUACUUUAUGAAUAAGGAUCGGCUAACUCCGUGCCCGCAGCCGCGGUAAUACGGAGGAUCCGAGCGGUAUUCGGAUUUAUUGGGUUUAAAGGGAGCGUAGAUGGGUUGUUAAGUCAGUUGUGAAAGUUUGCGGCUCAACCGUAAAAUUGCAAUUGAUACUGGCAGUCUUGAGUACAGUUGAGGUAGGCGGAAUUCGUGGUGUAGCGGUGAAAUGCUUAGAUAUCACGAAGAACCCCGAUUGCGAAGGCAGCUUACUAGACUGUGACUGACAUUGAUGCUCGAAAGUGUGGGUAUCAAACAGGAUUAGAUACCCUUGUAGUC
Molecule: ribosomal RNA, 460 nt
Filed under: uncultured bacterium
Lineage: Bacteria
Description: partial 16S ribosomal RNA
Rfam family: Bacterial small subunit ribosomal RNA
Source: RNAcentral